UUGUGGAGACAAGGCAAUAUUAUGACCCUAACCACUAUGUAUAUGUUGCCUCUGAAAAUUUUGACGCGAAAAUAUGGAGAAAGGCCAAGGGAAAAAUUGGAACGUUGGAAAUUAGUUUCGGGAAUUUUCAAAAAAUAAACCAAAGGAAAUUGGGCUUAAAAAAAAUAGAAAAAAAUGGCCCAAAGAACAUAGGUGGCCGGCCAUGGUCUUGCAAAAAUUAGCCCAAGCCCAUGAGUAAUGAAUCCAUGAGAUAAUAAUAAAAAGGGGGCCAAAGUCUUCAUUUUUCAAGAACCAAAAGAACCAAAAAAAAAAAAAAAGAGCAAGAACAAGAGUAUAGGGGGUUUCGGCCCCCCCUUCCCUUCAAAAAAAAUUUCCAAGUCUUUAGACUUUAAUCCAAAAAUCCCUUCCUUCUUGAAUUCUUGAUAAGUUUAAGGCUCUCUACAACGUGGUAUAAUUAGUUUGGCAAGAAAGCUCCGUUUGCGGAAAGUGGAAAAUUGAAGCAAAAGGUUUUGGACGAAACGGGGUUUGAAGUUUGGUAAGCGUAAAAGGCAAGAAAGGUACAGACGAUCGAUUUGGUGAUCCGCCAACGUAGGACAUCUCUCCAGCAGUUGAAGUGCUCCUUUGUUCAGGAGCCAUAUUUUGGGUACAUAUUUUACCGUUGUGCAUAUGUAUAUUCGU
Long non-coding RNA from Lycium barbarum (goji berry), 678 nucleotides. RefSeq lists it as uncharacterized. NCBI's taxonomy places the organism in Eukaryota, Viridiplantae, Streptophyta, Magnoliopsida, Solanales, Solanaceae. The transcript is spliced from 3 exons. The record is from RefSeq and is a predicted model, not a curated record.